Molecule: long non-coding RNA, 255 nt
Filed under: Vigna radiata
Lineage: Eukaryota; Viridiplantae; Streptophyta; Magnoliopsida; Fabales; Fabaceae
Description: long non-coding RNA (VRAD_LNC007696)
Source: RNAcentral
ACAACUAAUGAGCACACUUAAAUACCAAGUUUUUAUUAAUCAAAACUUUUCUAGACAUACACUUUUACAUUCUCACACUAUCAUAAUACUAUUCUAAUGACAAUAAUAAUAAAAAAAUAUAAUCAUACGAACCAAUGACACUUAUACUACUAUUGAAUAUCAAAAUAAUAACACAAGUAUUUUCAACUAAAAUAAAAUAAAAAUAAGAAAAUAAUAAGUAAAGAAUGUAAAUUAUAUUAAAGAAAGAAAAAUUAC